GAUGAACGCUGGCGGCGUGCCUAAUACAUGCAAGUCGAGCGAACGGACGAGAAGCUUGCUUCUCUGAUGUUAGCGGCGGACGGGUGAGUAACACGUGGAUAACCUACCUAUAAGACUGGGAUAACUUCGGGAAACCGGAGCUAAUACCGGAUAAUAUUUUGAACCGCAUGGUUCAAAAGUGAAAGACGGUCUUGCUGUCACUUAUAGAUGGAUCCGCGCUGCAUUAGCUAGUUGGUAAGGUAACGGCUUACCAAGGCAACGAUGCAUAGCCGACCUGAGAGGGUGAUCGGCCACACUGGAACUGAGACACGGUCCAGACUCCUACGGGAGGCAGCAGUAGGGAAUCUUCCGCAAUGGGCGAAAGCCUGACGGAGCAACGCCGCGUGAGUGAUGAAGGUCUUCGGAUCGUAAAACUCUGUUAUUAGGGAAAAACAUAUGUGUAAGUAACUGUGCACAUCUUGACGGUACCUAAUCAGAAAGCCACGGCUAACUACGUGCCAGCAGCCGCGGUAAUACGUAGGUGGCAAGCGUUAUCCGGAAUUAUUGGGCGUAAAGCGCGCGUAGGCGGUUUUUUAAGUCUGAUGUGAAAGCCCACGGCUCAACCGUGGAGGGUCAUUGGAAACUGGAAAACUUGAGUGCAGAAGAGGAAAGUGGAAUUCCAUGUGUAGCGGUGAAAUGCGCAGAGAUAUGGAGGAACACCAGUGGCGAAGGCGACUUUCUGGUCUGUAACUGACGCUGAUGUGCGAAAGCGUGGGGAUCAAACAGGAUUAGAUACCCUGGUAGUCCACGCCGUAAACGAUGAGUGCUAAGUGUUAGGGGGUUUCCGCCCCUUAGUGCUGCAGCUAACGCAUUAAGCACUCCGCCUGGGGAGUACGACCGCAAGGUUGAAACUCAAAGGAAUUGACGGGGACCCGCACAAGCGGUGGAGCAUGUGGUUUAAUUCGAAGCAACGCGAAGAACCUUACCAAAUCUUGACAUCCUUUGACAACUCUAGAGAUAGAGCCUUCCCCUUCGGGGGACAAAGUGACAGGUGGUGCAUGGUUGUCGUCAGCUCGUGUCGUGAGAUGUUGGGUUAAGUCCCGCAACGAGCGCAACCCUUAAGCUUAGUUGCCAUCAUUAAGUUGGGCACUCUAAGUUGACUGCCGGUGACAAACCGGAGGAAGGUGGGGAUGACGUCAAAUCAUCAUGCCCCUUAUGAUUUGGGCUACACACGUGCUACAAUGGACAAUACAAAGGGCAGCGAAACCGCGAGGUCAAGCAAAUCCCAUAAAGUUGUUCUCAGUUCGGAUUGUAGUCUGCAACUCGACUACAUGAAGCUGGAAUCGCUAGUAAUCGUAGAUCAGCAUGCUACGGUGAAUACGUUCCCGGGUCU
Molecule: ribosomal RNA, 1372 nt
Filed under: uncultured bacterium
Lineage: Bacteria
Description: bacterial SSU rRNA
Rfam family: Bacterial small subunit ribosomal RNA
Source: RNAcentral